GUCCGCUGCCUCUGGGCCAGGCCGCUCGUGCCUCAGCAGCUUUCUCCAGACUGGGCAGUUCCCAAGGCCCUCUUGGCCAGGCCUUUCCAAACGUCCGAACUCAAUGUCCUGACAAAAUAGCCUUCCUUGGUCAUUCUGGCAUUUCAUCCUUGUCGUCUUACCCAUCCACUCUUUCUUUCAUUUGUGCAGGGGGGAAGAAUGAUUACUGCCAACAGUCCUCAGAAUCCGCGAUGCACAGCUGACUUGGGAGCUCAGUACAUCACCUGCACGCCUCAUUAUGCCGAAAAGCAUCGAGAAUUUUAUGAGGAGUUGUUAGCUCAUGGGGUUUUGGUGCCUCUGACCUCGCCUAUUGAAGGAAUGAUGGUGAAGGAAGGAGAUUGCAACUUUGUGGCACCUCAAGGAAUCUCUUCAAUUAUUAAGCACUACUUGAAAGAAUCAGGUGCAGAAGUCUUCUUCAAACAGCGUGUGACCCAGAUCAACCUGAGAAAUAAUGUGUGGGAAGUCUCCAAAGAGACAGGCUCCCCUGAGCAAUUUGACCUUGUUAUCCUCACCAUGCCAGCUCCUCAGAUUCUGGAACUUCAAGGUGACAUUGUGAACUGA
This 600-nucleotide long non-coding RNA is filed under the name Cricetulus griseus (Chinese hamster). Its description in RNAcentral is "lncRNA (ENSCGRG00000024960.1)". The record is from RNAcentral. Lineage: Eukaryota; Metazoa; Chordata; Mammalia; Rodentia; Cricetidae.